CCUACGGGUGGCAGCAGUGAGGAAUAUUGGUCAAUGGGCGUACGCCUGAACCAGCCAAGUCGCGUGAGGGAUGAAGGUUCUAUGGAUCGUAAACCUCUUUUAUAAGGGCAUAAAGUGCGGGACUUGUCCCGUUUUGUAUGUACCUUAUGAAUAAGGAUAGGCUAACUCCGUUCCCGCAGCCGCGGUAAUACGGAGGAUCCGAGCGUUGUCCGGAUUUAUUGGGUUAAAAGGGUGCGUAGGCGGCAUUUUAAGUCAGCGGUGAAAGUCUGUGGCGCAACCAUAGAAUUGCCGUUGAAACUGGGAGGCUUGAGUAUGUGGGAGGCAGGCGGAAUGCGGGGUGUAGCGGUGAAAUGCUUAGAGAUCACGCAGAACCCCGAUUGCGAAGGCAGCCUGCCAAGCAAUGACUGACGCUGAUGCACGAAAGCGUGGGGAUCAAACAGGAUUAGAUACCCGUGUAGUC
RNAcentral lists this ribosomal RNA (460 nucleotides) under uncultured bacterium. Its description in RNAcentral is "partial 16S ribosomal RNA". It matches the Rfam family "Bacterial small subunit ribosomal RNA", at positions 338 to 795 of the family's 1533-position model. The record is from RNAcentral.